GGAAGUGGUAUGCCUCUUUGUAUGGCUUUUACUAUGGCUAUUAGGAUGUGAGAUUGAGACCUUCCUCCUCCCCUCUUGAAAGCAAGAGAGACGUCCUAUCUC
Molecule: long non-coding RNA, 102 nt
Organism: Nomascus leucogenys (northern white-cheeked gibbon)
Lineage: Eukaryota; Metazoa; Chordata; Mammalia; Primates; Hylobatidae
Exons: 3
Source: RefSeq, a predicted model, not a curated record